This 181-nucleotide ribosomal RNA is filed under the name uncultured Staphylococcus sp. RNAcentral describes it as "partial 16S ribosomal RNA". It matches the Rfam family "Bacterial small subunit ribosomal RNA", at positions 160 to 334 of the family's 1533-position model. The record is from RNAcentral. Lineage: Bacteria; Bacillati; Bacillota; Bacilli; Caryophanales; Staphylococcaceae.
GAGCUAAUACCGGAUAAUAUUUUGUAACCGCAUGAUUCAAAAGUGAAAGACGGUCUUGCUGUCACUUAUAGAUGGAUCCGCGCUGCAUUAGCUAGUUGGUAAGGUAACGGCUUACCAAGGCAACGAUGCAUAGCCGACCUGAGAGGGUGAUCGGCCACACUGGAACUGAGACACGGUCCAG